This 61-nucleotide transfer RNA is filed under the name Methanobacteriota archaeon. RNAcentral's name for it is "Euryarchaeota archaeon tRNA-Lys". It matches the Rfam family "tRNA", at positions 7 to 64 of the family's 71-position model. Rfam says of the family: Transfer RNA (tRNA) molecules are approximately 80 nucleotides in length. Their secondary structure includes four short double-helical elements and three loops (D, anti-codon, and T loops). Further hydrogen bonds mediate the characteristic L-shaped molecular structure. tRNAs have two regions of fundamental functional importance: the anti-codon, which is responsible for specific mRNA codon recognition, and the 3' end, to which the tRNAs corresponding amino acid is attached (by aminoacyl-tRNA synthetases). tRNAs cope with the degeneracy of the genetic code in two manners: having more than one tRNA (with a specific anti-codon) for a particular amino acid; and 'wobble' base-pairing, i.e. permitting non-standard base-pairing at the 3rd anti-codon position. Lineage: Archaea; Methanobacteriati; Methanobacteriota. The record is from RNAcentral.
GUAGCUUAGUCAGGUAGAGCGCCGGGCUUUUAACCCGGUGGCCGGGGGUUCGAAUCCCCUC